GGUAAGGAUUUUUUAAAAUCCACAAUACAUUCUUAAACCUAAAAUU
This is a non-coding RNA of Callithrix jacchus (white-tufted-ear marmoset), 46 nucleotides long. Lineage: Eukaryota; Metazoa; Chordata; Mammalia; Primates; Cebidae. The record is from Rfam.